RNAcentral lists this non-coding RNA (25 nucleotides) under Cricetulus griseus (Chinese hamster). The record is from RNAcentral. Lineage: Eukaryota; Metazoa; Chordata; Mammalia; Rodentia; Cricetidae.
GCUGUGAGGCGACUGCGGGCAGGUA